Molecule: non-coding RNA, 29 nt
Filed under: Mus musculus (house mouse)
Lineage: Eukaryota; Metazoa; Chordata; Mammalia; Rodentia; Muridae
Also listed under: 1 other name
Source: RNAcentral
UUACAAAUAGGAUGGUGUUCUUGAUAGUU